Molecule: ribosomal RNA, 433 nt
Filed under: uncultured bacterium
Lineage: Bacteria
Description: partial 16S ribosomal RNA
Rfam family: Bacterial small subunit ribosomal RNA
Source: RNAcentral
AACGAACGCUGGCGGCAUGCCUAACACAUGCAAGUCGAACGAGACCUUCGGGUCUAGUGGCGCACGGGUGCGUAACGCGUGGGAACCUGCCCUUAGGUUCGGAAUAACUCCCCGAAAGGGGUGCUAAUACCGAAUAAUGUCUUCGGACCAAAGAUUUAUCGCCUUUGGAUGGGCCCGCGUUGGAUUAGCUAGUUGGUAGGGUAAAAGCCUACCAAGGCGACGAUCCAUAGCUGGUCUGAGAGGAUGAUCAGCCACACUGGGACUGAGACACGGCCCAGACUCCUACGGGAGGCAGCAGUGGGGAAUAUUGGACAAUGGGCGAAAGUCUGAUCCAGCAAUGCCGCGUGAGUGAUGAAGGCCUUAGGGUUGUAAAGCUCUUUUACCCGGGAUGAUAAUGACAGUACCGGGAGAAUAAGCUCCGGCUAACUCCGUG